GCACCCAUAGUGAAAUGGAUAUCAUAUCUGACUUCGGAUCAGACGUUGGGGGUUCGAGUCCCUCUGGGUGCACCA
RNAcentral lists this transfer RNA (75 nucleotides) under Candidatus Kaiserbacteria bacterium. RNAcentral describes it as "tRNA-Arg". It matches the Rfam family "tRNA". Rfam says of the family: Transfer RNA (tRNA) molecules are approximately 80 nucleotides in length. Their secondary structure includes four short double-helical elements and three loops (D, anti-codon, and T loops). The record is from RNAcentral. Lineage: Bacteria; Candidatus Kaiseribacteriota.